UAGCAGACUCAGCACAGCAGCCUAGGAAAUAGAGAAGGAAAGAAAUGCUUAGCAUAUUCUACAUUUACUUAUAGACAUACAAUACCAUUUAUGGCUCCAUGUCUAAUAUAGGAACCAGAUUUUGGAGGGAAACUGGACAGGAACAAUAUCCAGCAUGAGCAGACAGAAGAGGACUUCAUGGCACAGAAUUCCAGAACUACGUGGCAUAUUUUAUCAUCAUCAAAGGGAGGCUUCAGAUCAGCCACCUUGGACUUCAACACCAAUUUGAUUAGGAGGUACUGUGUACCAAUGGCCAGAACGGGUGUGUGCCUGCCUUCAUUCUUUUGGAGUUCCUGGAGGCAAAAGUGGAUGCAGGGUUGUUGUAUGUAUCCUUUGCCUCAUGCUGUGCCUAUUGCUAGGCUUUUUGUCUGAAAGCUGCUAUUCUAAUUAACCAAAACUACCUUUCUCCUUAUCUGCUAGAGCAUGGUUUAUUAGUUUUAUCUUGUAAGCUGUUUCCUGAAAUAAAGAGGUAUGCCUUCUUCUUUCCA
This 527-nucleotide long non-coding RNA is filed under the name Salvator merianae (Argentine black and white tegu). RNAcentral's name for it is "lncRNA (ENSSMRG00000019299.1)". The record is from RNAcentral. Lineage: Eukaryota; Metazoa; Chordata; Lepidosauria; Squamata; Teiidae.